This 78-nucleotide ribosomal RNA is filed under the name Bacillus toyonensis. Lineage: Bacteria; Bacillati; Bacillota; Bacilli; Caryophanales; Bacillaceae. RNAcentral also lists the same sequence under 2 other names. The record is from RNAcentral.
CCGAACACGGAAGUUAAGCUCUCUAGCGCCGAUGGUAGUUGGGACCUUGUCCCUGUGAGAGUAGGACGUCGCCAAGCA